CGUUGCCCCCGCCGCCAUCCUUGUCUGCCAGCUUUACAAGGCAACAGGUAUCUAUGAGAUUCUAGGGAAAGUUGUGUUUUUAUCAUAAUGACUAAAAAUUAAAAACAAAAUCAUAUGCAUUUUUGUGUGUGUCAUUAGUGUUAUCAAUAGAAAUUUUACUAUAGUAAUAUGGACAAGGACAAGGUUUUACUCGCAAUUGCAUUUCAUCACACAAUUUUUGACAUGGAAGGAAAUCCCAGAUGAAUUCCGCCGUGUCAAGGUUUGAAGUUGUGAUCGUAGUUUCUGGUUGAUCAUGAUUUUUGACAUUGCAAGAAAUUGGUGAUGAAUGUAUCUGAUGUGGUUACCAUCGUAGUUGUGGUUAUUUAUAGCCUAAAAUUUUGUAUGCUGUGACUGAAAUAACAGUUGCGGAAUUCUUUGAAACCUUGAUUUGAGGAGUAAAGUUUUGUAUUAAAUAUAUUGACAAGGAAUGAUACCAAUAAUGAUUCAACCGCUGAAAGGGACUAAAUAAUAUAUUUGAGGAAUCAAAUUGUUUAUAAGUUUGAAGUUCUAUAGGUAAAUUUGUUUGUGAGAAACCUAUAUUUUUGAACCUAUUUAUGUAAAUACUAAUUUUUCCGAAGGGUCUCUUCAUAUGGUCAAGUAGUGGACAAAUAAAUUACUCUUUUUUUAAUGGAAAUUGCGGUUGGGUGUACCGGAAAUCAUUACUGGAGCCACGCGUUAAAGUGUUUUUCUUUUUCACAUAAACUUCACAGUUUCGAUUCACAAUUAUUUGUUAGCACUUUUUCCUUUUAGGCUUAAAAGUAAUUAAGUUGUCACUUUACCUAACCUCUUUUUGUUGUGGUUGUUGUCGUGGAUGAUGAUUGUGGUUGGUUUUCUUUGCAGUCGAAUGAUUUGAAUGGUUCGACGCCGAAGAUGGAGGGGCGGAUUAUUUACUACCAUAUUG
Molecule: long non-coding RNA, 940 nt
Filed under: Phaseolus vulgaris (common bean)
Lineage: Eukaryota; Viridiplantae; Streptophyta; Magnoliopsida; Fabales; Fabaceae
Description: long non-coding RNA (PVUL_LNC004384)
Source: RNAcentral